GUAGGUGGCAAGCGUUGUCCGGAAUUAUUGGGGCGUAAAGCGCGCGCAGGCGGUUCUUUAAGUCUGAUGUGAAAGCCCACGGGCUCAACCGUGGAGGGUCAUUGGAAACUGGAGAACUUGAGUACAGAAGAGGAAAGCGGAAUUCCACGUGUAGCGGUGAAAUGCGUAGAGAUGUGGAGGAACACCAGUGGCGAAGGCGGCUUUCUGGUCUGUAACUGACGCUGAGGCGCGAAAGCGUGGGGAGCAAACAGGAUUAGAUACCCUGGUAGUCCACGCCGUAAACGAUGAGUGCUAGGUGUUAGGGGGUUUCCGCCCCUUAGUGCUGCAGCUAACGCAUUAAGCACUCCGCCUGGGGAGUACGGCCGCAAAGGCUG
Molecule: ribosomal RNA, 374 nt
Filed under: uncultured organism
Description: partial 16S ribosomal RNA
Rfam family: Bacterial small subunit ribosomal RNA
Source: RNAcentral